Molecule: non-coding RNA, 22 nt
Filed under: Arabidopsis thaliana (thale cress)
Lineage: Eukaryota; Viridiplantae; Streptophyta; Magnoliopsida; Brassicales; Brassicaceae
Source: RNAcentral
GAGUGAAGACUCAUAUUGUGGA